RNAcentral lists this ribosomal RNA (516 nucleotides) under Ilyonectria sp. nwa_besc_246d. RNAcentral describes it as "eukaryotic LSU rRNA". The stretch from base 142 to 295 matches the Rfam family "5.8S ribosomal RNA". Lineage: Eukaryota; Fungi; Ascomycota; Sordariomycetes; Hypocreales; Nectriaceae. The record is from RNAcentral.
UUACCGAGUUUACAACUCCCAAACCCCUGUGAACAUACCUAUUUGUUGCCUCGGCGGUGCCUGUUCCGACAGCCCGCCAGAGGACCCCAAACCCUGAUUACAUUUAAGAAGUCUUCUGAGUAAACCGAUUAAAUAAAUCAAAACUUUCAACAACGGAUCUCUUGGUUCUGGCAUCGAUGAAGAACGCAGCGAAAUGCGAUAAGUAAUGUGAAUUGCAGAAUUCAGUGAAUCAUCGAAUCUUUGAACGCACAUUGCGCCCGCUAGUAUUCUGGCGGGCAUGCCUGUCCGAGCGUCAUUUCAACCCUCAAGCCCCCGGGCUUGGUGUUGGGGAUCGGCGAGCCUCCGCGCCCGCCGUCCCCUAAAUCUAGUGGCGGUCUCGCUGUAGCUUCCUCUGCGUAGUAGCACACCUCGCACUGGGAAACAGCGCGGCCACGCCGUUAAACCCCCAACUUCUGAACGUUUGACCUCGGAUCAGGUAGGAAUACCCGCUGAACUUAAGCAUAUCAAUAGCCGGAG